GCUGGGCAUGGAGGCUCACACCUGUAAUCCCAGCUAUUCAGGAAGCUGAGGCAGGAGGAUUGCAAGUUCAAGGCUAGUAUGGGCAACUUAGCCAGACCUUGUCUCAA
RNAcentral lists this small RNA (107 nucleotides) under Marmota monax (woodchuck). The record is from RNAcentral. Lineage: Eukaryota; Metazoa; Chordata; Mammalia; Rodentia; Sciuridae.